RNAcentral lists this ribosomal RNA (56 nucleotides) under Clostridioides difficile. The record is from RNAcentral. Lineage: Bacteria; Bacillati; Bacillota; Clostridia; Peptostreptococcales; Peptostreptococcaceae.
UCUGGUUAUAAUAGUAGAGAGGAUACACCUGUUCCCAUUCCGAACACAGAAGUUAA